GAUGAACGCUGGCGGCGUGCCUAAUACAUGCAAGUCGAGCGGACAGACGAGGAGCUUGCUCCUCUGACGUUAGCGGCGGACAGCUGAGUAACACGUGGUUAACCUACCUAUAAGACUUGGAUAACUUCGGGAAACCGGAGCUACUACCGGAGAAUAUAUUGAACCUGAUGGUUCAAUAGUGUAAGACGGUUUUGCUGUCACUGGUGGAUGGAUCCGCGCCGCAUUAGCUAGUUGGUAAGGUAACGGCUUACCAAGGCGACGAUGCGUAGCCGACCUGAGAGGGUGAUCGGCGGCCAUGGAGCUGAGGAGCGGCGCAGACUACUACGAGAGGAAGCAGCAGGGAAGCUUACGCCAUGGGCGAAAGCCUGCCGGAGCAACGCCGCGUGAGGGAUGAAGGUCUUCGGAUCGUAAAACUCCGCUAUUAGGGAAGAAGCAAUGUGUAAGUAACUAUGCACGUCUUGACGGUACCUAAUCAUAAAGCCACGGCUAACUACGUG
Molecule: ribosomal RNA, 497 nt
Filed under: uncultured bacterium
Lineage: Bacteria
Description: partial 16S ribosomal RNA
Rfam family: Bacterial small subunit ribosomal RNA
Source: RNAcentral